AGCGGCGGACGGGUGAGUAACACGUGGGCAACCUGCCCUGAAGCGGGGGAUAACAUCUGGAAACAGGUGCUAAUACCGGAUAACAACAUGAAUCGCAUGAUUCAAGUUUGAAAGGCGGCGCAAGCUGUCACUUUAGGAUGAGCCCGCGGCGCAUUAGCUAGUUGGUGGGGUAAAGGCCUACCAAGGCAAUGAUGCGUAGCCGAGUUGAGAGACUGAUCGGCCACAUUGGGACUGAGACACGGCCCAAACUCCUACGGGAGGCAGCAGUAGGGAAUCUUCCACAAUGGACGCAAGUCUGAUGGAGCAACGCCGCGUGAGUGAAGAAGGUUUUCGGAUCGUAAAGCUCUGUUGUUGGUGAAGAAGGAUAGAGGCAGUAACUGGUCUUUAUUUGACGGUAAUCAACCAGAAAGUCACGGCUAACUACGUGCCAGCAGCCGCGGUAAUACGUAGGUGGCAAGCGUUGUCCGGAUUUAUUGGGCGUAAAGCGAGCGCAGGCGGAAUGAUAAGUCUGAUGUGAAAGCCCACGGCUCAACCGUGGAACUGCAUCGGAAACUGUCAUUCUUGAGUGCAGAAGAGGAGAGUGGAACUCCAUGUGUAGCGGUGAAAUGCGUAGA
RNAcentral lists this ribosomal RNA (614 nucleotides) under uncultured bacterium. Its description in RNAcentral is "bacterial SSU rRNA". It matches the Rfam family "Bacterial small subunit ribosomal RNA", at positions 94 to 694 of the family's 1533-position model. The record is from RNAcentral.